Labeo rohita (rohu) is the source of this 551-nucleotide long non-coding RNA. RefSeq lists it as uncharacterized. The record is from RefSeq and is a predicted model, not a curated record. The transcript is spliced from 3 exons. Lineage: Eukaryota; Metazoa; Chordata; Actinopteri; Cypriniformes; Cyprinidae.
GGUUGAACACUCAUUCUGACGGCAGCCAUUCACUGUAGAGGAUCCAUUGAUGAGCAAGUGACGUAAUGCUAAAUUUCUCCAAAUCUGUAUCAUCUUGGAUGGCUUAAGGGUGAUGCAAUCAGCAAAUGGAAGUCCUUGCAUUGCCCAACCCCUUUCCUAACAGUGCUGAGGGGAGGAAGGUCAGAGAGCAUGGGGAGAGAGGGAUGAGUCAAGUGCAAGAGGAAGGAGACAAGGGCAAAUGUGAAAAUGACACCUGAAAAUGCCAGACGACUAAGGACGGUAACUCUUGUGACAGAUGACAGGACAGUGGAAAGUGAGAGGAAAUUGUUGGGUGGAGAGGGAUCGGCAAAGGGACACCCUGGGACAAGAUUCGAACCUGGGUCAGCCAGAGGUGCAGUUGCGCUAUAUGUCAGUGUGCUAACAACUUGGCUAUAGGGAAGAAAGACUGAAAUCUUGUUUUAUGUACAGCUUGCUUUUUUUUUUUUUACAGUGUAAGAAAAAAAAUCAGUGUAGUUCAGACAAGCAAAUGAAACAAAGCAAAACAAAACAAA